This 517-nucleotide ribosomal RNA is filed under the name uncultured bacterium. Its description in RNAcentral is "partial 16S ribosomal RNA". It matches the Rfam family "Bacterial small subunit ribosomal RNA", at positions 29 to 523 of the family's 1533-position model. The record is from RNAcentral.
AACGAACGCUGGCGGCGUGCCUAACACAUGUAAGUCGAACGUGAUUGAGGUGCUUGCACCUCAUGAAAGUGGCGCACGGGUGAGUAACGCGUAGAUAAUCUGCCUGGUGAUUUGGGAUAACACUUCGAAAGGGGUGCUAAUACCGGAUAAGCCCACGAGCUCUUUGGAGCAUGCGGGAAAAGGAGGGGACCUUCGGGCCUUCCGUCAUCAGAUGAGUCUGCGUACCAUUAGCUAGUUGGUAGGGUAAAGGCCUACCAAGGCGACGAUGGUUAGCUGGUCUGAGAGGAUGAUCAGCCACACUGGAGCUGAGACACGGUCCAGACUCCUACGGGAGGCAGCAGUGGGGAAUUUUGCGCAAUGGGGGAAACCCUGACGCAGCAACGCCGCGUGAGUGAUGAAGGCCCUUGGGUCGUAAAGCUCUGACAGAGGGAAAGAAAUGUGGGUGGCUAAUAUCCAUUCCACUUGACGGUACCCUCAAAGGAAGCACCGGCUAACUCCGUGCCAGCAGCCGCCGUAA